This 518-nucleotide ribosomal RNA is filed under the name uncultured bacterium. RNAcentral's name for it is "bacterial SSU rRNA". It matches the Rfam family "Bacterial small subunit ribosomal RNA", at positions 31 to 559 of the family's 1533-position model. The record is from RNAcentral.
GAACGCUGGCGGCGUGCUUAACACAUGCAAGUCGAACGGGGUCCAUGCAGUAGCAAUACUGCGGAAGGCCUAGUGGCGAACGGGUGAGUAACACGUGAGGAACCUGCCCUGGUCUCUGGGAUAACAGUUGGAAACAGCCGCUAAUACCGGAUGACGUCGGACCGUCGCAUGGCGGACUGACGAAAGGGUUACCGGAUCAGGAGGGCCUCGCGUCCUAUCAGCUUGUUGGUGGGGUAACGGCCUACCAAGGCAUCGACGGGUAGCUGGUCUGAGAGGAUGAUCAGCCACACUGGGACUGAGACACGGCCCAGACUCCUACGGGAGGCAGCAGUGGGGAAUCUUGCGCAAUGGGCGAAAGCCUGACGCAGCAACGCCGCGUGCGGGAAGAAGGCCUUCGGGUUGUAAACCGCUUUCAGAAGGAACGAAACUGACGGUACUUUCAGAAGAAGGUGCGGCCAACUACGUGCCAGCAGCCGCGGUGACACGUAGGCACCAAGCGUUGUCCGGAUUUAUUGGGC